Molecule: ribosomal RNA, 420 nt
Filed under: Chloroflexota bacterium
Lineage: Bacteria; Bacillati; Chloroflexota
Description: Chloroflexi bacterium partial 16S ribosomal RNA
Rfam family: Bacterial small subunit ribosomal RNA
Source: RNAcentral
UGGGGGAUAUUGCACAAUGGGCGAAAGCCUGAUGCAGCGACGCCGCGUGGGGGAUGAAGGCUUUCGGGUUGUAAACCUCUUUCGCUAUCGAACAAGGCCCGCUUAGGGUGGGUUGAGGGUAGGUGGAGAAGAAGCGCCGGCUAACUACGUGCCAGCAGCCGCGGUAAUACGUAGGGCGCGAGCGUUGUCCGGAAUUAUUGGGCGUAAAGGGCUUGUAGGCGGCUUGUUGCGCCUGCUGUGAAAACGCGGGGCUUAACUUCGCGCGUGCAGUGGGUACGGGCAGGCUUGAGUGUGGUAGGGGUGACUGGAAUUCCAGGUGUAGCGGUGGAAUGCGCAGAUAUCUGGAGGAACACCGAUGGCGAAGGCAGGUCACUGGGCCAUUACUGACGCUCAGGUGCGAAAGCGUGGGGAGCAAACAGG